RNAcentral lists this long non-coding RNA (236 nucleotides) under Musa acuminata (dwarf banana). Its description in RNAcentral is "long non-coding RNA (MACU_LNC006091)". The record is from RNAcentral. Lineage: Eukaryota; Viridiplantae; Streptophyta; Magnoliopsida; Zingiberales; Musaceae.
CGGGUUCGGAUCUGAAGUAAUCGGGAAUUGGGUCCGAAGCAUAUGCGGUCGUCCUGGGACGGAGGACAAAAGCAAAAUGGAAGAAGAGAAAAGAAGGUAGGCGCUGUCUCCUUCAUCCUUUACCUCUGCCCUCAUUCUUCGGGAUCGCCUAGCUUUUGUUCUUGUCUCCCUGCCCCUCUCUGUUGCUUCUCUGUCAUCCCUCCUUUUCCCUCUCUGCCUUCCCCUCUCUGCUCCCA